GAUGAACGCUGGCUGUGUGCCUAAUACAUGCAUGUCGAGCGGAAGUAGCAAUACUUUAGCGGCGAAUGGGUGAGUAACACGUGCUUAAUCUACCUCUUAGAUUGGAAUACCUAAUGGAAACAUUGGUUAAUGCCGGAUACGCAUGGAGUCGCAUGACUCCGUUGUGAAAGGGGCCUUUAAAGCUCCACUAAGAGAUGAGGGUGCGGAACAUUAGCUAGUUGGUGAGGUAACGGCCCACCAAGGCUAUGAUGUUUAGCCGGGUCGAGAGACUGAACGGCCACAUUGGGACUGAGAUACGGCCCAAACUCCUACGGGAGGCAGCAGUAGGGAAUAUUCCACAAUGAGCGAAAGCUUGAUGGAGCGACACAGCGUGCACGAUGAAGGUCUUAUGGAUUGUAAAGUGCUGUUGCAAGGGAAGAAAAAGUAGUUGAGGAAAUGCUUCUACAUUGACGGUACCUUGUUAGAAAGCGAUGGCUAACUAUGUGCCAGCAGCCGCGGUAAUACAUAGGUCGCAAGCGUUAUCCGGAAUUAUUGGGCGUAAAGCGUUCGUAGGCUGUUUAUUAAGUCUGGAGUCAAAUCCCAGGGCUCAACCCUGGCUCGCUUUGGAUACUGGUAAACUAGAGUUGGAUAGAGGUAAGCGGAAUUCCAUGUGAAACGGUGAAAUGCGUAGAUAUAUGGAAGAACACCAAAGGCGAAGGCAGCUUACUGGGUUUAUACUGACGCUGAGGAACGAAAGCGUGGGGAGCAAACAGG
RNAcentral lists this ribosomal RNA (753 nucleotides) under uncultured Mycoplasma sp. RNAcentral describes it as "bacterial SSU rRNA". It matches the Rfam family "Bacterial small subunit ribosomal RNA", at positions 28 to 776 of the family's 1533-position model. Lineage: Bacteria; Bacillati; Mycoplasmatota; Mollicutes; Mycoplasmatales; Mycoplasmataceae. The record is from RNAcentral.